UACGGGGGGGGCAAGCGUUGUUCGGAAUUACUGGGCGUAAAGGGCUCGUAGGCGGCCAACUAAGUCAGACGUGAAAUCCCUCGGCUUAACCGGGGAACUGCGUCUGAUACUGGAUGGCUUGAGAUUGGGAGAGGGAUGCGGAAUUCCAGGUGUAGCGGUGAAAUGCGUAGAUAUCAGGAAGAACACCCGUGGCGAAGGCGGCGCUCUAGUACGGUACUGACGCUGAGGCGCGACAGCGUGGGGAGCAAACAGG
This 253-nucleotide ribosomal RNA is filed under the name uncultured bacterium. Its description in RNAcentral is "partial 16S ribosomal RNA". It matches the Rfam family "Bacterial small subunit ribosomal RNA", at positions 524 to 776 of the family's 1533-position model. The record is from RNAcentral.